This 114-nucleotide transfer RNA is filed under the name Candidatus Woesearchaeota archaeon. RNAcentral's name for it is "tRNA-Phe". Lineage: Archaea; Nanobdellati; Candidatus Woesearchaeota. The record is from RNAcentral.
GGCGGCGUUGGGCAACCAGGUUGCCCGCCAAGCUGAACCCUUGGUUCCCGAAAGGGUUUCCGGGUUCAAAUAGCUUUCGGUCUUGGCCGGAACUUGAAUCUCCCGGCGCCGCCG